This is a long non-coding RNA of Gavialis gangeticus (Gharial), 2889 nucleotides long. RefSeq lists it as uncharacterized. The record is from RefSeq and is a predicted model, not a curated record. The transcript is spliced from 2 exons. Lineage: Eukaryota; Metazoa; Chordata; Crocodylia; Gavialidae.
ACCAAGGGGGAAGAUGUAAAGAGGAGCCUGACUAUGGCUGUGUGAGGAGGGCACGUGCCUAGAAAGUAGUAUGCCCAGUACCCACAGCUGUUUCUGCUUUGAGCAGUCAUUGGAUAAAAUGCAAAAGCAGGGGCAGUGCUCUCCUCACCAGGGGUCUGUGGCAAAGCAGGAAGUUAAAUACAGGCCUCCAAAAUCUCAGUCCGGCAUCCUGACAACUGUUGCCUCUGCCUUACUUUCGAACUGCCCUUUAACAUGUACAUCUCAGGAAUCCUUAACCUUCUCCUCACUAAUUCCCCACAUGCUCUUUACCUUGACUUACUCUUCUUUAUUUUGCUUCACUUAGCCUGCAGACUCUUGAGGAAAAUGAAUGUGCCUUUCUUUCUAAAAUGCCUUCCAAAUUAUAGCUCUAUACAGCGAUUUCAUUUCUGUUAGCAACAAUUAAAUAAAAACUAAUAGGGCUGAUCCAGAGCCCUUACUUUGGAGUAGUCUCCCAAAAAUUUAGUGUUGUAAUGUAGCUAGAUCUUUGUGGUUAAAUGCAUGAAUAUAUUUUUCUUCCAUGCAUAUAAUAAAGUUUGCUGGUAUAAUAAAGCUUGUUAGUUUGUGAUGAAGCACUAUCCAGUGUUUCAUCAACUGUGCUAUGAAGUUUUACUGUUUUUCAGGGUAUAGAGGGCUGUUAUUCUGGACACAAAAAGAGGGCAGUGUUGGGUACCCAGUGAUGUGUGCCAGGAACUUCCAGACGAUGCUAAUCCCCAGUGCAAAGUCAUGAGGGUCACAUGGCAAGCAGGUCUCUGUGAAAACAGCAAGAGGGCAAGACAUUUGCUUUCUCUUUUCUCUCUCUCUUUCAACACCACUUAUUAUAACUUCACCCCUAUUUUCUGCUCCUCUUCUUUCAUCUUUAGACUUCUCUUCCUUUUUGGGCAAGGUUUGCAAUCUUGCUUUUCAUUCAGCUUCUCACCCUUCUCUCAUUCCCUUAGGCCUAUGCACUUGUGAAAGGUUGACUCCUACCCUUGCUUUCAGUUGGGCUGCUAAGCAGAGAUGCCAACUUUUAUUUUUGCCAGGUGGGAGAGGGGGCCUAAGAUGAUGGACAUGUGGAACAUCUUAUGCAUUUCAGGUGACAGUCCUCUUCCCAAUGGGGAGCAGGGCACUCAGGCCCCUAUGUACUCUGCUGCUAAGCCACCUACUCUGCAAUGAAGACACAGGGUAACACUUGAAUGUUGAUAACACUUCAAGGCCUUCCCACAAUCACUUCCACAUGUCCAGAGAAAAAGACAAAUUCUUUUACAAACCACUGGGAAAGUAUCAGAGCAAGUCCGCUUACUGCAACACAGGAACCAUGGACUGUGUCUCUAUAUCUAUUAGCAACACAUACAGGUAAUCGGAGAACUGAGACACCAUUGCUUUUUGUGUCUGUUCACAACUGGCUAGGCUAACCUGGGUGAUUGGAUCUGGAUGCAGAUCACCUGCCCUAACUGCAGUGAAGACAUUCUCACAUGUGCUACAGCUGGGUGACAUUGCCCCAAGACAAACAGGCAAACACUGAAAAAACAACUUCUGAAGCACCAAAGUACUGAAAAGGCAUGCAUUGAACAGCCAAGGCAAGCACUGAGGAGUCGGGAGAGAGAGCACAAAGCACUAGUAUGACACACUAAAGAGCCAGCUCAAGCAUCUUAAAAAAUGGCUAAGUGCCAAGGACCAUCAUGACCUGGGCCUGUGCAGAAGGCAAGAGCACAGGUGAAGAUGCCUCACAAUGAGAGCCUGCAGUCUCAGGGCAAGGGCUGGACACAUGGCUGUGAAGAUGUACCUGUCACAGAAGGUUCCUUCCCCAACUUCAGGAACAAACUAACUGGUGGUUCCCAAUGGUGGCAUGAACUGCUUUCAUGGGGACUGGUUUGCAAGCCAUUACUUUACUGUUCCCUUAAGAACCAAAACAUCUUCAAGCAUUACACCUAUCUCAGGUGAUGGAGCAGAGACCAAAGCAUAAGAGUCCUAGUGGGUGGCAGUCUCUUGAGGGCUCUUCUUCCCAUUUCACAAGUGGGGAAACUGAGACAUAGAACUGAAUGAAUUUUGCCAUUGGCUUCAUUAGGAACAGAAUGAGGCUCUAUGGACCAUAUUUUUAAAAGGUUUUAUAUGCAGAUAGGUCUCUAGUGGAAUUCUCAAGUGAUUUGCAGUGGAUCCAAACUGUGAGUGGAACCCAAGAGUCCCCUGCACCUAGCUUUGUCCUUAGACUGUUAAAUUACAUCUUUCUCCUUUCAUGUUAUCCAGAAAUCCCUGAGCUUCUCUGGGUUCUUUUUCAUUGCAUUUCUCUCUGGUCUGAAUGAACAAAUCAUGUGUUUGCCAGCUCCUUACCCAAUGGAGUUCCUGUUUCACAAACCUGAUCUAGAAGCAAACCCACCAACAUUCGCUGCUUGCUGAACUAGCUUUAUUCCAAAAUACGUUUUCAUACAGCAAAUAAGCAAACUUGGUAAAAAAAAAUGUGCAUUGCCACAGUAAGCCCAGUUACUUAUGGGUUCAGCUGGGAAGUGUCAGAAGAUCUGGCCAAUGUCUGGAUAAUAAGGGGAAUUCAUUGGUGAACUCUCUCUUCUGCCACCUUAUGAAAAGCUGAGGUGCUCUUGGGUUGAGCUAAUCUUGAAAUCUGUCUUGAAAUCUGCCAUACCCACCUACCAUGAAUCUCCACGUCUCUGAUUUUAUUAGCUCAUUCCUGGCUGGUGUCCAAGGAACUUUUAAAAUAAAUCCAAAGGAGGAGUCUUCCUUCAGGUGCAAGUGUUUUUACUUAGCAGAUAAGAGGGAAGAUUGAGGAGUGAAUCUUAACCUGCAUAACUGUAACAGUCACAUGGUUCCCUAGGCUUUUUGUGGACCUUGUAUAUUGUGAGGGUCAUACAAUGCAGUAAA